Molecule: ribosomal RNA, 466 nt
Filed under: uncultured bacterium
Lineage: Bacteria
Description: partial 16S ribosomal RNA
Rfam family: Bacterial small subunit ribosomal RNA
Source: RNAcentral
GAUGAACGCUGGCGGCGUGCUUAACACAUGCAAGUCGAACGGAAAGGCUCCUGCUUGCAGAGGUACUCGAGUGGCGAACGGGUGAGUAACACGUGGGUGAUCUGCCCUGCACUUCGGGAUAAGCCUGGGAAACUGGGUCUAAUACCGGAUAGGACGAUGGUUUGGAUGCCAUUGUGGAAAGUUUUUUCGGUGUGGGAUGAGCUCGCGGCCUAUCAGCUUGUUGGUGGGGUAAUGGCCUACCAAGGCGUCGACGGGUAGCCGGCCUGAGAGGGUGUACGGCCACAUUGGGACUGAGAUACGGCCCAGACUCCUACGGGAGGCAGCAGUGGGGAAUAUUGCACAAUGGGCGCAAGCCUGAUGCAGCGACGCCGCGUGGGGGAUGACGGCCUUCGGGUUGUAAACUCCUUUCGCUAGGGACGAAGCGCAAGUGACGGUACCUGGAGAAGAAGCACCGGCUAACUACGUG